RNAcentral lists this ribosomal RNA (931 nucleotides) under uncultured bacterium. Its description in RNAcentral is "bacterial SSU rRNA". It matches the Rfam family "Bacterial small subunit ribosomal RNA", at positions 8 to 916 of the family's 1533-position model. The record is from RNAcentral.
AGAGUUUGAUCAUGGCUCAGAACGAACGCUGGCGGCGUGCCUAACACAUGCAAGUCGAGCGCGAAAGUCCCUUCGGGGCAAGUAGAGCGGCGGACGGGUGAGUAAUACAUAGGUAAUCUACCUUCGAGCUUGGGAUAACCCCGCGAAAGUGGGGCUAAUACCGGAUAAGACCACGUAACCAUGCUACGGGGUAAAAGGUGGCUUAUUUUUUAAAUGAGCUAUCACUUGAGGAUGAGCCUGUGGCCUAUCAGCUUGUUGGCGGGGUAAAAGCCCACCAAGGCUAUGACGGGUAGCUGGUCUGAGAGGACGAUCAGCCACACUGGGACUGAGACACGGCCCAGACUCCUACGGGAGGCAGCAGUGGGGAAUAUUGGGCAAUGGGCGAAAGCCUGACCCAGCGACGCCGCGUGGGCGAUGAAGGCCUUCGGGUUGUAAAGCCCUGUCAUGCGGAAAGAACGACCCUGAGACGCAUACUCUCAGGGAGUGACGGUACCGCAGGAGGAAGCACCGGCUAACUCCGUGCCAGCAGCCGCGGUAAUACGGAGGGUGCAAGCGUUGUUCGGAAUUAUUGGGCGUAAAGGGCGCGUAGGCGGUAACGUAAGUCAGAUGUGAAAUACUCCGGCUCAACCAGAGAAUUGCAUCUGAAACUGCGUAACUAGAGUACAGAAGAGGGAAACGGAAUUCCCGGUGUAGAGGUGAAAUUCGUAGAUAUCGGGAGGAACACCAGUGGCGAAGGCGGUUUCCUGGUCUGAUACUGACGCUGAGGCGCGAAAGCGUGGGGAGCAAACAGGAUUAGAUACCCUGGUAGUCCACGCUGUAAACGGUGAACACUAGGUGUGGGAGGUGUAAUACCUUCCGUGCCGUAGCUAACGCGUUAAGUGUUCCGCCUGGGAAGUACGGCCGCAAGGUUGAAACUUAAAGGAAUUGACGG